UGAUAACAGGGUCGAAAAGUCACAGACCGUCCAUGCUUGCAUGGGAAGGGCUGUGACCUUGAGACCCGCCGAAUAUGAGAACGAAGCGCAUCGCGCGUAGUUCGAAUAUUCGCAGGAUUGCGACAGUUGCGCCAGCAACGGAGCAAGCCGUUGGUUUCA
This 159-nucleotide small RNA is filed under the name Roseburia sp. CAG:309. RNAcentral's name for it is "Clostridiales-1 RNA". It matches the Rfam family "Clostridiales-1 RNA". Lineage: Bacteria; Bacillati; Bacillota; Clostridia; Lachnospirales; Lachnospiraceae. The record is from Rfam by way of RNAcentral.